Molecule: long non-coding RNA, 655 nt
Organism: Arachis duranensis
Lineage: Eukaryota; Viridiplantae; Streptophyta; Magnoliopsida; Fabales; Fabaceae
Exons: 4
Source: RefSeq, a predicted model, not a curated record
AGCGCGUCACCGACGCCGAGCCUCAUUGUCGCCGCCAUCGUUGACGAGCCCUGCCACCGCUGUCUCGUGCUCCAUCGCCGCUGCUGGAGGUCCGUCACCGAUCUAAUCUGAGAGAGAGGAGAUGUGAACGGAAGAGAAGACGGGGAGCCACCUCCGCUGUUGUUAAACCACCAAAGCUUCUGGCCGAGCUUCUGCCGCCCGAAACCCGCUGCCGUCGCCAGAAAAAGCGCUGAAGUCGCCGUCGCUGGAAUUCGUCGCCACCACCACUACCAUUAGAGAUGAAUCGAGUUGUUCUCUUGUUGCCGAAGAGUAGCGUAGCCAGAAGCGUGACAUUCUGAUAGUGAAGGUGUUACAAUUUUCAUCCACUACAUGGCUAGGCAGCUUCAGCAGAUGCUUGAAGAUGUAUGUGAAAGGUAGGACUGCCUUACUUAGUGGCUCCGGCCGGACAUUAGAAGGCCCUUUACGCCUAUUAGGAGAAUGAUGAGGGGUUCAAGGGUUGUUGAGCCACAAAUAGGUCCAACAGAGCAUCAGCCAAGUCGUUCAAGUAUAAUGGCAGUUUAAAUCGUUGCAAAGUGAGGCAACGAUGGCAAAGACCUUGAAGUUUACUCAGAGAACAAGGAGAGAUUUGCCGAUCGGUAGUCUGCGGAUUAUUAUG